UUGUCCGGAUUUACUGGGUGUAAAGGGUGCGUAGGCGGCUUUGCAAGUCAGAUGUGAAAUCUAUGGGCUCAACCCAUAAACUGCAUUUGAAACUGUAGAGCUUGAGUGAAGUAGAGGCAGGCGGAAUUCCCCGUGUAGCGGUGAAAUGCGUAGAGAUGGGGAGGAACACCAGUGGCGAAGGCGGCCUGCUGGGCUUUAACUGACGCUGAGGCACGAAAGCGUGGGUAUCAAACAGGAUUAGAUACCCUGGUAGUCCACGCUGUUAACGAUGAUUACUAGGUGUGGGG
This 287-nucleotide ribosomal RNA is filed under the name uncultured bacterium. RNAcentral describes it as "partial 16S ribosomal RNA". It matches the Rfam family "Bacterial small subunit ribosomal RNA", at positions 541 to 827 of the family's 1533-position model. The record is from RNAcentral.